UUUCUACUCCCUCCGUCCGAAAAUACUUGUCAUCAAAAUGGAUAAAAAGAGAUGUAUCUAAAACUAAAAUACGUAGAUACAUUUCCUUUUAUCCAUUUUGAUGACAAGUAUUUCUGGACGGAGGGAGUAUUUG
Non-coding RNA from Triticum aestivum (bread wheat), 133 nucleotides. NCBI's taxonomy places the organism in Eukaryota, Viridiplantae, Streptophyta, Magnoliopsida, Poales, Poaceae. The record is from Rfam.